Molecule: ribosomal RNA, 155 nt
Filed under: leaf litter ascomycete strain its113
Lineage: Eukaryota; Fungi; Ascomycota
Description: 5.8S ribosomal RNA
Rfam family: 5.8S ribosomal RNA
About the family: 5.8S ribosomal RNA (5.8S rRNA) is a component of the large subunit of the eukaryotic ribosome.
Source: RNAcentral
AACUUUCAACAACGGAUCUCUUGGUUCUGGCAUCGAUGAAGAACGCAGNNNAAUGCGAAAAGUAAUGUGAAUUGCAGAAUUCAGUGAAUCAUCGAAUCUUUGAACGCACAUUGCGCCCACCAGUAUUCUGGUGGGCAUGCCUGUCUGAGCGUCAU